RNAcentral lists this ribosomal RNA (659 nucleotides) under Vibrio cholerae. RNAcentral describes it as "partial 23S ribosomal RNA". It matches the Rfam family "Bacterial large subunit ribosomal RNA", at positions 2263 to 2916 of the family's 2925-position model. The record is from RNAcentral. Lineage: Bacteria; Pseudomonadati; Pseudomonadota; Gammaproteobacteria; Vibrionales; Vibrionaceae.
GGGUAGUUUGACUGGGGCGGUCUCCUCCCAAAGAGUAACGGAGGAGCACGAAGGUGGGCUAAUCACGGUUGGACAUCGUGAGGUUAGUGCAAUGGCAUAAGCCCGCUUAACUGCGAGAAUGACGGUUCGAGCAGGUGCGAAAGCAGGUCAUAGUGAUCCGGUGGUUCUGUAUGGAAGGGCCAUCGCUCAACGGAUAAAAGGUACUCCGGGGAUAACAGGCUGAUACCGCCCAAGAGUUCAUAUCGACGGCGGUGUUUGGCACCUCGAUGUCGGCUCAUCACAUCCUGGGGCUGAAGUCGGUCCCAAGGGUAUGGCUGUUCGCCAUUUAAAGUGGUACGCGAGCUGGGUUUAGAACGUCGUGAGACAGUUCGGUCCCUAUCUGCCGUGGGCGUUGGAAGAUUGAAGGGGGCUGCUCCUAGUACGAGAGGACCGGAGUGGACGAACCUCUGGUGUUCGGGUUGUGUCGCCAGACGCAUUGCCCGGUAGCUAAGUUCGGAAUUGAUAAGCGCUGAAAGCAUCUAAGCGCGAAGCGAGCCCUGAGAUGAGUCUUCCCUGAUACUUUAAGUAUCCUAAAGGGUUGUUCGAGACUAGAACGUUGAUAGGCAGGGUGUGUAAGCGUUGUGAGGCGUUGAGCUAACCUGUACUAAUUGCCCGUGAGG